AUACUUACCUGGCAGGGGCAACUCCAUGAUCAGGAAGGUGGUUUCCCCAGGGCGAGGCUCACCCAUUACACUCUGGGCAUGCUGACCCUUGCAAUUUCCCCAAAUGUGGGAAACUCGACUGCAUAAUUUAUGAUAGUGGGGGACUGUGUUUGUCCUCUCCCCAG
Molecule: small nuclear RNA, 164 nt
Organism: Suncus etruscus (white-toothed pygmy shrew)
Lineage: Eukaryota; Metazoa; Chordata; Mammalia; Eulipotyphla; Soricidae
Product: U1 spliceosomal RNA
Exons: 1
Source: RefSeq, a predicted model, not a curated record